Molecule: ribosomal RNA, 501 nt
Filed under: uncultured bacterium
Lineage: Bacteria
Description: partial 16S ribosomal RNA
Rfam family: Bacterial small subunit ribosomal RNA
Source: RNAcentral
AUUGAACGCUGGCGGCAUGCCUUACACAUGCAAGUCGAACGGCAGCACGGGUGCUUGCACCUGGUGGCGAGUGGCGAACGGGUGAGUAAUAUAUCGGAACGUACCUUAUUGUGGGGGAUAACGCAGCGAAAGCUGUGCUAAUACCGCAUAAUCCCUAAGGGGGAAAGCGGGGGACCGUAAGGCCUCGCGCAAUUAGAGCGGCCGAUACCUGAUUAGCUAGUUGGUGAGGUAAAGGCUCACCAAGGCAACGAUCAGUAGCUGGUCUGAGAGGACGGUCAGCCACACUGGGACUGAGACACGGCCCAGACUCCUACGGGAGGCAGCAGUGGGGAAUUUUGGACAAUGGGGGCAACCCUGAUCCAGCAAUGCCGCGUGAGUGAAGAAGGCCUUCGGGUUGUAAAGCUCUUUUGUCAGGGAAGAAACAGCAGCUCUAACACAGUUUGCGAAUGAUGGUACCUGAAGAAUAAGCACCGGCUAACUACGUGCCAGCCGCCGCGGUAA